RNAcentral lists this ribosomal RNA (251 nucleotides) under uncultured Staphylococcus sp. RNAcentral's name for it is "partial 16S ribosomal RNA". It matches the Rfam family "Bacterial small subunit ribosomal RNA", at positions 89 to 334 of the family's 1533-position model. The record is from RNAcentral. Lineage: Bacteria; Bacillati; Bacillota; Bacilli; Caryophanales; Staphylococcaceae.
ACGUUAGCGGCGGACGGGUGAGUAACACGUGGGUAACCUACCUAUAAGACUGGGAUAACUUCGGUAAACCGGAGCUAAUACCGGAUAACACAUGAAACCGCAUGGUUUCAUGAUGAAAGACGGUUUUGCUGUCACUUAUAGAUGGACCCGCGGCGUAUUAGCUAGUUGGUAAGGUAACGGCUUACCAAGGCAACGAUACGUAGCCGACCUGAGAGGGUGAUCGGCCACACUGGAACUGAGACACGGUCCAG